This 1925-nucleotide long non-coding RNA is filed under the name Scophthalmus maximus (turbot). RNAcentral describes it as "lncRNA (ENSSMAG00000032546.1)". Lineage: Eukaryota; Metazoa; Chordata; Actinopteri; Pleuronectiformes; Scophthalmidae. The record is from RNAcentral.
AUAAUGCAGCUGCAGGCGACUCUCCAGGAAGUGGGUGAGCAGAGGAGCCAGCUGGAACGUGAGCUGCAGCAUCAUAUGGAGAUGGUGGGGAGAAGUUGUGUGAGAUCACACAAUCAGUGAUGUUGAAGAGGGCGAAUGGAAACUGUGUAAAUGUUUCUUUCCCGUUUUCAGGCUGCGGAGACUCAAAGUCUUCUACAACUGCUCCAGGAGCAAAAUCAGAGCAGCAUUGAGCUGGAAAGACAAAGCGAGGAGAGGCGAGCUCAGCUCCAACAAGAGGUUGCAGAGAAGCAGUGUCUUCUACAGUCUCUCCAGGAGGAGCUGAACCAGCAGAAGCACAAACACUCUGAUCUGCUGAAACAGUGUGAGGAGAGGGAACGUGACUCACAGCAGCAAGUGAGUAAAGUGAGAAAGUAAAGGAAGGGUAUGUUUAAACCUGAUCUGUGAGUGUUCUCACUGUUGGUUGCUAUGUUGCCAUUUAAACAGACAAAGUCUCUCAGCGAACAGCUGGAGAGUGCUCGAGCAGAGAGGGACAGCCUGCUCUGUGAGAAGGACGCUGGCUGCCGGGGCUCCUCGGAGGAGAAGCAGCAGCAGCAGCAGCAGCAGCAGCAGCAGCUGCUGAGCAGAGUGACAUCUCUCUGCGAGGAGAGCGAUCAGCUGCAGGAGACCCUGCAGGGACUGAGGCAGGAUAGGCAGCAGCUCAGAGCAGAGCUGGAGGACAAGAUAGAGACGGUAAUAACCUGGUCCUUCUGGUAUUGUUAGCACGUGUGUCUGUAUAAUCAAAGUUCCAUCCCAGAACACAGUGAGGUCACACUGUGCUGUUCUCUUCCUGUCCUGCAGAUGCAGUGUGACUUCCAGUUGCAGCUCAGCAACAGAGUAGAAACAGUUAUGAGAACAGUUAUGAUAACAUAUUUAAAGUUGAAGUUAAUGAGACUCUUGAACUUCUCCUCUCUUCACAGAUGAAGACUCUAACAGAGAAGCUGGAGCUCAGUGAGUCAGAGAGAGACAGUCUGCUGUGUGAGGAGGAAGCCAGCUGUCAGAGAGUGACGCGUCUCAGUGAGGAGAGGGAUCAGCUGCAGGAGACACUGCAGCAGCUCCGAGCAGAGCUGGAGGACAAGAUAGAGACGAUGAAGACUCUAACAGAGAAGCUGGAGCUCAGUGAGUCAGAGAGAGACAGUCUGCUGUGUGAGGAGGAAGCCAGCUGUCAGAGAGUGACGUGUCUCAGUGAGGAGAGGGAUCAGCUGCAGGGGACACUGCAGCAGCUCCGAGCAGAGCUGGAGACACUGCACACUGAGAUGAAGACUCUAACAGAGAAGCUGGAGCUCAGUGAGUCAGAGAGAGACCGUCUGCUGUGUGAGGAGGAAGCCAGCUGUCAGAGAGUGACGUGUCUCAGUGAGGAGAGGGAUCAGCUGCAGGAGACACUGCUGCAGCUCAGAGCAGAGCUGGAGACACUGCAGACUGAGGCCUCUACAACACAAGAGCUUCUACAGUCAGUCCAAGAGGAGCUGUGUGAACAGCAGCAGCUGAACUCUGACCUGCAGAGACUGAAUGAGGAGAAGGAGAGUUCUCUAGAUCAACAGAUAAAGACUCUAACAGAGAAGCUGGAGAUCAUUGAGUCAGAGAGAGACGGUCUGCUGUGCGAGGAGGAAGCCAGCUGUCAGAGAGUGACAUGUGUCAGCGAGGAGAGGGAUGAGCUGCAGGAGACACUGCUGCAGCUCAGAGCAGAGCUGGAGGACAAGAUGGAGACGAUCUCUGCCAUUCAAGAGAAACUGAGGGAACAGCAGCAGCAACCUGAGAGAGUAGAACAAGAGGCCAAGCUGCAACAGGAAUUGCUCAGUGAAGCCAACACGACCAUCUCAGCCCUCAGAGAGCAGCUGAGCAAUUUGGGACGGCGGCUUCGCCUCAUCGCGGCUGCUCCGCUCCACUGA